RNAcentral lists this ribosomal RNA (256 nucleotides) under uncultured bacterium. RNAcentral's name for it is "partial 16S ribosomal RNA". It matches the Rfam family "Bacterial small subunit ribosomal RNA", at positions 521 to 776 of the family's 1533-position model. The record is from RNAcentral.
UAAUACGAAGGGUGCAAGCGUUAUCCGGAUUCAUUGGGUUUAAAGGGUGCGUAGGCGGGGCGUUAAGUCAGUGGUGAAAUCCUACAGCUUAACUGUAGACUUGCCGUUGAUACUGGCGCUCUUGAGUGCGCUUGAAGUAGGCGGAAUGUGUCGUGUAGCGGUGAAAUGCUUAGAUAUGACACAGAACACCGAUUGCGAAGGCAGCUUACUAAGGCGAUACUGACGCUGAGGCACGAAAGCGUGGGGAUCAAACAGG